CGUAUAUUAAAGUUGUUGCAGUUAAAAAGCUCGUAGUUGAAAUUCUGGCUGUAUUGGGCCUUUGCUUUCAUGCGAAGGAACCAGCAGUCAUCCGCUUGCAAGUACAUGCUCUUCCUUAACCGGUAGACUGUAUAAGUAAGCAUUUUACCUUGAGAAAACAGAGUGUUCCAGGCAGGUUUUGUCCGGAAUGCAUUAGCAUGGAAUAAUAGAAUAUGACUGAGGUCGAUUUUAUUGGUUAGAGACUUUAGUAAUGAUUAAUAGGAACAAUCGGGGGCAUUGGUACUUGUCAGUCAGAGGUGAAAUUCUUGGAUUUGACAAAGACUAACUGAUGCGAAAGCGUUUGCCAAGAAUGUUUUCAUUAAUCAAGAACGAAAGUUAGGGGAUCAAAGACGAUCAGAUACCGUCCUAGUCUUAACUAUAAACUAUACCGACUCGGAUUCAGAUGAAUAUCAAAGUUCAUUUGGGACCGUAGGAGAAAUCAAAGUCUUUGGGGUUCUGGG
This 500-nucleotide ribosomal RNA is filed under the name uncultured eukaryote. RNAcentral describes it as "SSU rRNA". It matches the Rfam family "Eukaryotic small subunit ribosomal RNA", at positions 598 to 1118 of the family's 1831-position model. The record is from RNAcentral.